GUAGGGAAUAUUGCGCAAUGGACGAAAGUCUGACGCAGCGACGCCGCGUGAGUGAUGAAGGCCUUAGGGUCGUAAAGCUCUGUUGAAUGGGAAGAAAAAAAUGACGGUACCAUUCGAGGAAGGACCGGCUAACUUCGUGCCAGCAGCCGCGGUAAUACGAGGGGUCCUAGCGUUGUUCGGAAUCAUUGGGCGUAAAGGGUGUGUAGGUGGCCAUGUAAGUCAGGUGUGAAAGCCCCGGGCUCAACCCGGGAAGUGCACUUGAUACUGCGUGGCUUGAGUACCGAAGAGGGUAGUGGAAUUCCAGGGGUAGUGGUGAAAUACGUAGAUAUCUGGAGGAACACCGGUGGCGAAGGCGGCUACCUGGUCGAGUACUGACACUGAGACACGAAAGCAUGGGGAUCAAACAGGAUUAGAAACCCGGGUAGUCC
Molecule: ribosomal RNA, 428 nt
Filed under: uncultured bacterium
Lineage: Bacteria
Description: partial 16S ribosomal RNA
Rfam family: Bacterial small subunit ribosomal RNA
Source: RNAcentral